RNAcentral lists this ribosomal RNA (305 nucleotides) under Frankliniella occidentalis (western flower thrips). Its description in RNAcentral is "eukaryotic LSU rRNA". It matches the Rfam family "Eukaryotic large subunit ribosomal RNA", at positions 674 to 944 of the family's 3401-position model. The record is from RNAcentral. Lineage: Eukaryota; Metazoa; Arthropoda; Insecta; Thysanoptera; Thripidae. RNAcentral also lists the same sequence under 2 other names.
UCUAACAUGUGCGCGAGUCAUUGGGCUCUGCGAAACCUAAAGGCGAAAUGAAAGUGAAGGCCACGCACUUGUGCUGGUGCUUAGGGGUGAUGGUCGUUCCUACACGGGCGGCCCGCAACCCCGGGGCGUCUCGUUCUCUUUGAGAAGUGGCGCACCCAGAGCGUACACGUUGGGACCCGAAAGAUGGUGAACUAUGCCUGGCCAGGACGAAGUCAGGGGAAACCCUGAUGGAGGUCCGUAGCGAUUCUGACGUGCAAAUCGAUCGUCGGAGCUGGGUAUAGGGGCGAAAGACUAAUCGAACCAUC